This 484-nucleotide ribosomal RNA is filed under the name uncultured bacterium. RNAcentral describes it as "partial 16S ribosomal RNA". It matches the Rfam family "Bacterial small subunit ribosomal RNA", at positions 30 to 507 of the family's 1533-position model. The record is from RNAcentral.
AUUGAACGCUGGCGGCAGGCCUAACACAUGCAAGUCGAGCGGAUGAAGGGAGCUUGCUUCUGGAUUCAGCGGCGGACGGGUGAGUAAUGCCUAGGAAUCUGCCUGGUAGUGGGGGAUAACGUCCGGAAACGGGCGCUAAUACCGCAUACGUCCUGAGGGAGAAAGUGGGGGAUCUUCGGACCUCACGCUAUUAGAUGAGCCUAGGUCGGAUUAGCUAGUUGGUGGGGUAAAGGCCUACCAAGGCGACGAUCCGUAACUGGUCUGAGAGGAUGAUCAGUCACACUGGAACUGAGACACGGUCCAGACUCCUACGGGAGGCAGCAGUGGGGAAUAUUGGACAAUGGGCGAAAGCCUGAUCCAGCCAUGCCGCGUGUGUGAAGAAGGUCUUCGGAUUGUAAAGCACUUUAAGUUGGGAGGAAGGGCAGUAAGUUAAUACCUUGCUGUUUUGACGUUACCAACAGAAUAAGCACCGGCUAACUUCGUG